RNAcentral lists this ribosomal RNA (1038 nucleotides) under Triticum aestivum (bread wheat). RNAcentral's name for it is "partial small subunit ribosomal RNA". The record is from RNAcentral. Lineage: Eukaryota; Viridiplantae; Streptophyta; Magnoliopsida; Poales; Poaceae.
AUGGCUUUGGUAGAUCACCAGUGUGAGGGUGGUCUUUGGCUGCAGAUUAUCCGUAACAAAUAUCUGCGCGGCCAACCCCUUGCUUUCUGCCAAUGGACUGGUGGUUCCCAGUUCUGGCAGUCCAUCAUACAUCUGCUUCCUGUACUCCGGAUUGGGACCUCCAUCAUGGUAGGAACGGGCGCUAGUACCCUAUUCUGGUUUGAUAGGUGGGCGGGCGACGCCCCCUUUGCAGCCCGCUUCCCGGACUUGUUUGCCAUUGCUAUGGACCCUCGGGUCUCCGUCGAGACGGCCCUUAUUGACUUAGGGCACCUCGCCUUCAGGCGGCCCUUUGGGCCCCUAGAAGUGAAUGUAUGGCACGAGCUAUUGGACACCAUUGCUCUGCAUGAGCCAGACCUCUCGCGACCCCAGGACCUUGUAUCUUGGUGCUUAGAGCCUUCGGGCAACUUCUCCACCAAAUCCCUCUACAGGGCUAUCGCCCCCUCCCCCGCCCCGGAUCCACUCAUGUUGACCUGGGAGAUCAAACUCCCCCUAAAGAUCAGGAUCUUCCUCUGGCAAUGGAUCCAUGGGCGUGUCCCGUCAGGUGUGGAGGUGCUGAAACAUAAUGGCCCCGGUGAUGGGAUGUGCCCCCUGUGUGGCACGCUCGAGGAUUCUAAUCAUAUCUUCUUCUCCUGCGUCUCUGCUCAAUUCCUGUGGAGUUGCCUCCGCGAAGCGGUUAGUGGUCGUUGGUGCAACACCAACUUCCCGGAUCUCUUCGACGAGGUUCAGGCUUCGCCCCAGCCUGGCCGCCACAUUAGGUGGCUAGCGAUUGGGCUCCUUGCAUGGACACUGUGGACUAUUCGCAACAAGCUCGUGAUUCAGCGCAUGGCCCUUCGACGAUCGACUGACACAAUUUUUAAAAUGUGUGGUUACCUGCAGCUUUGGCUGCCGCUUAGCCGUCCCCAGGAUCUCGAUGCCGUCAACAACAUCAUCGCUUCCCUCCGUGCGUUGGCCAUCCGCCUGGCGCCACCGCUCCCUCCACCACCACCAGAGCCGGAUUAG